CACUGGCUUACGUCUCCACUCUUUUCACUGCUUCAUGAAUAGACCCCUAAGAGAAAUGCUGGAGGAGAGCAUUGUGUCCCUCCUGGAGAGGGUCAUGCUGGGAGGUAUGCGAUAGGAGAGCAGUUCCCUGCUGCCCCACUGAGGCACAUCCACUCUCUCAUACUGUACUUUAUCCUGCUGGAGCAGAAUGAUGUAUCUGCUGCCGGAAGGCCCAAUGUAGAGACUUGAGGAAGUGUUUCCAGCAUAAAAUAAAAUGUGUGUGCAUUACACGAGUGGCUGCAUCAGUACUUGAGGAUGUCCCAUAUACAGCCUGAUAGACUGUGAGUCCUCUAUACCAGCCGAUUAUAGUGAACAAUGACAAGGUAUCUGUUGACGAUGCAUUGAACGUCACAGAUGUAUUUGUAUUUAUUGCCGACUCGACUGAACUGAUGUCACCUGUCUUGAGAGGUCCGGUCACGGACCGAAACGUUGACACGAAUAAA
Molecule: long non-coding RNA, 482 nt
Organism: Pseudophryne corroboree (corroboree frog)
Lineage: Eukaryota; Metazoa; Chordata; Amphibia; Anura; Myobatrachidae
Exons: 4
Source: RefSeq, a predicted model, not a curated record